GUUGAAUAAAUAUUUCUUAAACAUUUAAAAACAUGUAUUUAAUUCAAAAUAUUUAUUUUAGAAUCGAUGAAAGUAUUGGUAAAGAGACUUAUUAGAUACUAGAUACUAACCAUAAGGACGACUUCCUGAUAGAUAUGGCCUGAAAGGUGAAGGUUAUAUAUUCCAUCUUUAAAAAAUGUCAAACUUUCGCCCCGCAGUUGGAACACCUUCUAUUGACACAUGAGAUGGAUCGAACCCUCUGGUCUCUGGACUCCUGACUCCGGAGAGUCCACCCCGAGAAGCGGUGGACACUGGGCGGUGGAUGGUGGGUGGGUGAGUGGGUGGUGACCCGAUUGAACCCACUGACAAGCAAAUUACUUGACCGGGCCACACCAACCACAAGUCAAGGUAUGGCAGCCAGCCGUUAACUUUGCAGCUAAUUAUAAAUGAAAUCCGAUAUCAAAGGGCACACGGAGACACGCCUUUGUGCAGCACCCACACACACACACACACACACACUGGCACACUCAUUGUCAAACACACACACACUCAAAGGUACACAACACCAAACACAAAGACAAUGUCAAUUCAUUUGGAGUUUUGGAGUCUAGGACACUUGGAAAAAAAUGUUUAUUAAAUU
Molecule: small RNA, 619 nt
Filed under: Drosophila ananassae
Lineage: Eukaryota; Metazoa; Arthropoda; Insecta; Diptera; Drosophilidae
Description: GF28143
Source: RNAcentral